UAAUGUUUGUGUGUUUCUGCUCAGGACGAACGCUGGCGGCGUGCUAAUACAUGCAAGUCGAACGAACUCUGGUAUUGAUUGGUGCUUGCAUCAUGAUUUACAUUUGAGUGAGUGGCGAACUGGUGAGUAACACGUGGGAAACCUGCCCAGAAGCGGGGGAUAACACCUGGAAACAGAUGCUAAUACCGCAUAACAACUUGGACCGCAUGGUCCGAGCUUGAAAGAUGGCUUCGGCUAUCACUUUUGGAUGGUCCCGCGGCGUAUUAGCUAGAUGGUGGGGUAACGGCUCACCAUGGCAAUGAUACGUAGCCGACCUGAGAGGGUAAUCGGCCACAUUGGGACUGAGACACGGCCCAAACUCCUACGGGAGGCAGCAGUAGGGAAUCUUCCACAAUGGACGAAAGUCUGAUGGAGCAACGCCGCGUGAGUGAAGAAGGGUUUCGGCUCGUAAAACUCUGUUGUUAAAGAAGAACAUAUCUGAGAGUAACUGUUCAGGUAUUGACGGUAUUUAACCAGAAAGCCACGGCUAACUACGUGCCAGCAGCCGCGGUAAUACGUAGGUGGCAAGCGUUGUCCGGAUUUAUUGGGCGUAAAGCGAGCGCAGGCGGUUUUUUAAGUCUGAUGUGAAAGCCUUCGGCUCAACCGAAGAAGUGCAUCGGAAACUGGGAAACUUGAGUGCAGAAGAGGACAGUGGAACUCCAUGUGUAGCGGUGAAAUGCGUAGAUAUAUGGAAGAACACCAGUGGCGAAGGCGGCUGUCUGGUCUGUAACUGACGCUGAGGCUCGAAAGUAUGGGUAGCAAACAGGAUUAGAUACCCUGGUAGUCCAUACCGUAAACGAUGAAUGCUAAGUGUUGGAGGGUUUCCGCCCUUCAGUGCUGCAGCUAACGCAUAAGCAUU
RNAcentral lists this ribosomal RNA (898 nucleotides) under Lactiplantibacillus plantarum. RNAcentral describes it as "bacterial SSU rRNA". It matches the Rfam family "Bacterial small subunit ribosomal RNA", at positions 1 to 868 of the family's 1533-position model. Lineage: Bacteria; Bacillati; Bacillota; Bacilli; Lactobacillales; Lactobacillaceae. The record is from RNAcentral.